GAUGAACGCUGGCGGCGUGCCUAAUACAUGCAAGUCGAGCGAACGGACGAGAAGCUUGCUUCUCUGAUGUUAGCGGCGGACGGGUGAGUAACACGUGGAUAACCUACCUAUAAGACUGGGAUAACUUCGGGAAACCGUAGCUAAUACCGGAUAAUAUUUUGAACCGCAUGGUUCAAAAGUGAAAGACGGUCUUGCUGUCACUUAUAGAUGGAUCCGCGCUGCAUUAGCUAGUUGGUAAGGUAACGGCUUACCAAGGCAACGAUGCAUAGCCGACCUGAGAGGGUGAUCGGCCACACUGGAACUGAGACACGGUCCAGACUCCUACGGGAGGCAGCAGUAGGGAAUCUUCCGCAAUGGGCGAAAGCCUGACGGAGCAACGCCGCGUGAGUGAUGAAGUUCUUCGGAUCGUAAAACUCUGUUAUUAGGGAAGAACAUAUGUGUAAGUAACUGUGCACAUCUUGACGGUACCUAAUCAGAAAGCCACGGCUAACUACGUG
This 497-nucleotide ribosomal RNA is filed under the name uncultured bacterium. RNAcentral describes it as "partial 16S ribosomal RNA". It matches the Rfam family "Bacterial small subunit ribosomal RNA", at positions 28 to 507 of the family's 1533-position model. The record is from RNAcentral.